RNAcentral lists this transfer RNA (74 nucleotides) under Sporothrix schenckii ATCC 58251. RNAcentral's name for it is "tRNA-Tyr (GTA) (tRNA-Tyr-GTA-1-1)". It matches the Rfam family "tRNA". Rfam says of the family: Transfer RNA (tRNA) molecules are approximately 80 nucleotides in length. Their secondary structure includes four short double-helical elements and three loops (D, anti-codon, and T loops). Further hydrogen bonds mediate the characteristic L-shaped molecular structure. tRNAs have two regions of fundamental functional importance: the anti-codon, which is responsible for specific mRNA codon recognition, and the 3' end, to which the tRNAs corresponding amino acid is attached (by aminoacyl-tRNA synthetases). tRNAs cope with the degeneracy of the genetic code in two manners: having more than one tRNA (with a specific anti-codon) for a particular amino acid; and 'wobble' base-pairing, i.e. permitting non-standard base-pairing at the 3rd anti-codon position. The record is from RNAcentral. Lineage: Eukaryota; Fungi; Ascomycota; Sordariomycetes; Ophiostomatales; Ophiostomataceae.
CUCCCGAUGGUGUAGCUGGUGAUCACGUUCGACUGUAAAUCGAAAAGUCGCCGAUUCGACUUCGGCUCGGGAGA